This 495-nucleotide ribosomal RNA is filed under the name uncultured bacterium. Its description in RNAcentral is "partial 16S ribosomal RNA". It matches the Rfam family "Bacterial small subunit ribosomal RNA", at positions 28 to 523 of the family's 1533-position model. The record is from RNAcentral.
GAUGAACGCUAGCGGGAGGCCUAACAUAUGCAAGCCGAGCGGUAGAGAUCUUUCGGAGAUUUGAGAGCGGCGUACGGGUGAGGAACACGUGUGCAACCUGCCUUUAUCUGGGAGAUAGCCUUUCGAAAGGAAGAUUAAUAUCCCAUAAUAUAUUGAGUGGCAUCACUUAAUAUUGAAAGCUCCGGCGGAUAGAGAUGGGCACGCGCAAGAUUAGAUAGUUGGUGAGGUAACGGCUCACCAAGUCUACGAUCUUUAGGGGGCCUGAGAGGGUGAUCCCCCACACUGGUACUGAGACACGGACCAGACUCCUACGGGAGGCAGCAGUGAGGAAUAUUGGACAAUGGGUGCAAGCCUGAUCCAGCCAUCCCGCGUGAAGGAUUAAGGUCCUAUGGAUUGUAAACUUCUUUUAUACAGGGAUAAACCUCUCCUCGUGAGGAGAGCUGAAGGUACUGUAUGAAUAAGCACCGGCUAACUCCGUGCCAGCCGCCGCGGUAA